CUUAAUGAGAGUUUGAUCCUGGCUCAGGACGAACGCUGGCGGCGUGCCUAACACAUGCAAGUCGAGCGAAGUAUUUAAAGAAGAUUUCUUCGGAAUGAAACUUUAAAUAUCUUAGCGGCGGACGGGUGAGUAACGCGUGAGAAACCUGCCUUUCACAACGGGAUAGCCUCGGGAAACUGGGAUUAAUACCGUAUAAUGUUUCUUUUUAGCAUUAAGAAGAAACCAAAGCGCAAAGCGGUGAAAGAUGGUCUCGCGUCCCAUUAGCUAGUUGGUGAGAUAAAAGCUCACCAAGGCGACGAUGGGUAGCCGGCCUGAGAGGGUGAACGGCCACACUGGAACUGAGACACGGUCCAGACUCCUACGGGAGGCAGCAGUGGGGAAUAUUGCACAAUGGAGGAAACUCUGAUGCAGCGACGCCG
RNAcentral lists this ribosomal RNA (419 nucleotides) under Tissierellaceae bacterium. RNAcentral describes it as "bacterial SSU rRNA". It matches the Rfam family "Bacterial small subunit ribosomal RNA", at positions 1 to 399 of the family's 1533-position model. Lineage: Bacteria; Bacillati; Bacillota; Tissierellia; Tissierellales; Tissierellaceae. The record is from RNAcentral.